GAAUCUGAAACUGACAGCCUUAGAUGGGCAUCUCCGAAGACAAGUGUCUACAGGGCGGUGUGCCCUCAGUGGAUUCUCAGGAGUGUGAUUUCUGGAUCUACUUCGGUGAAACUUUCUGUCACUGUGGUGAGGAUACUCAAGGCAGAAUGCCUUAUUUGUAUUCUGAGGUGCAUGCUCCCUGGAUCAGUUUAUUCGUCUGUUGCGACCAUAAUCCCAAAGACCAAUAGGGUGAAGUACCCUCCUCGGUCAAUCAAGAAAAUGGCUGUUGGAUCUUCAUCUACUCUGCUUCGACCAUAAUCCCGAAGACCAAUAGGGCGGAAUACCCUUCUCAGUCAAUUAAUCAGGAAAAUGGCUGUUGGGUCUUCAUCUACUCUGCUUCGACCAUAAUCCCGAAGACCAAUAGGACGGAAUACCCUUCUCAGUCAAUCAAGAAAAUGGCUGUUGGGUCUGCUUCGAUCCCAAGGACGGCCUCGAGACAUGUCUUUAA
This 487-nucleotide long non-coding RNA is filed under the name Panax ginseng (ginseng). RNAcentral describes it as "long non-coding RNA (PGIN_LNC008540)". Lineage: Eukaryota; Viridiplantae; Streptophyta; Magnoliopsida; Apiales; Araliaceae. The record is from RNAcentral.